GGCCUGCGCACCACAUAAGCUUGGUAGUUUUUAGGAUCAACAUUUUGGCACACCCAGUGAGACAUAGUGCUAAAACCACGAAGUUCAUGACCAUUGAGACACGAUCGGUUAAAAAGAAAAUAGUCAUGAGAAAGUGCACGACCAAUCUUCCAGUCCAAAACCCAAGACCAGAUGACUUGUCACAAGCACAUAAUCUUCCUGUUGCUUGAUGCAAAAAUUAACUUAACACACAAAUUAAACCAUCUUUUGACAAUUGUAGUAUAUUUAUAAGUAGGUUUUCUAGGCAGGGGAUUAGGAGGGAUUGCUAAUUGAUUCUAAACUGACUUAAAGACACAAAAACAAACUUAAAAAUGAUAGGAUAGAUUCAAAAAACUCAAAACUAGUUCACAAGACUCAAAAUAAGAUAAAAACACUCAAAACUGCCUAAAAACACCAACUAGGCAGUUUCUAACACUAAACACAAUUUUGGAUGAAUGUAAGGUUUGGGCUUGACUCAAAACACUUAAAAACACAAACAAAACAAGUUUAAAACAAUUUGAAACAAGAAAGUAAAUGGGGGUUUUGUUUUGGAUGAAUUUAAAAUAACAAAACAGAUUGUAAUUUAAAAACAGGUUUGUAGACAAUUUUAGGAAAUUAGAUGGAUGAUGGGAUAGCUAGAGGCUUUUCCUCCACAUAUGACAUGUAUGCAAACGACUCGAUUUCCAGUUACUACUUCAUUGAAUUAUGAACGACAAUGCCUCAAAUUAACCGUGACAUCACUAGUUAACCCUCAGAUUUUCCUUGUUUUAUUGGAUUGGAUGACAUCAUUCGACAACCCAAAGUAUUCUUCAAAAGUUCCCUACAUGACAUCAUAAUAGAGAUACGAUCAAAGAUCAUUACGUUCAAUGAAAAUCAUAAGCAUUGAUAAAGCACUUGCAACUAUGACAUCAUGUCACUCAUGCUAGGAAGUAAACUUAACGCGAUCGUGAUCAACAACCUUCACUACAUAUGAAUAUAAGUUUGUAACGAUUAUGUGAAACUUCCUUAUAUUCUAGCAUCGGAUUUAUGCAUGCCAAUUAACACUAUGUUUGGAUGAAGAAAUUUAAGAUUACUAAGGAAUUUUAAAAUGAUGGAAAUUGAAAUGAAGGGAUUUUAUUUUCUAGAAUUUGUGAAUGUUGUUGUUUGGUUAACUUAAAAGACCAAUGGAAUUGAAAACGGAAUUUGUUAAUUUUAAGCUCCCAAUCAUAGAAAUUGGGAAAUGACACCUAUUUACAUGGAAUUUAAACUUGGAAAUUGGAGGCCCCAAAUUCCAAGUUUUUUUCCAUGCAGAAAUUCUAAAUUUCUAUGUUAUAAAUCCAAACAAGGGAAUUGGUGCAUGUCAAUUUAUAAAUUCUGAUCCAAAUUCCAAGUUUAUUUCCCUCAUCCAAACAGACCAUAAGUGUCGACCCACAAUUAACAAACACAAAUAAGUUAUCAAUUAAGCAGUUAAGCCAAUUGCAUUCACGAUUCAAGAAUUCAUAACUGGAAUUUAUCAACUCAUAUUGCACACAUAAUGAUAGGAGCAUAUUUAUGCGACUUAGUUGGCUUGUUCUUAAGCAUUUAUGUUGUUUUUCUUUAGUUAUUUUAGUGUUUAAAGUCAUUUUCGUGCAAUUUUAGGUUUAGAGACGAAGUAUGCAAGAAGUGCAAAAUGGAGCAUUUUAGAGCAAAAUUGAGCUAGAAUGGAGUGUAUGCUA
RNAcentral lists this long non-coding RNA (1712 nucleotides) under Malus domestica (apple). Its description in RNAcentral is "long non-coding RNA (MDOM_LNC015603)". Lineage: Eukaryota; Viridiplantae; Streptophyta; Magnoliopsida; Rosales; Rosaceae. The record is from RNAcentral.